AUUGAACGCUGGCGGAAUGCUUUACACAUGCAAGUCGAGCGGCAGCGCGGCCUUCGGGCUGGCGGCGAGCGGCGAACGGGUGAGUAAUGCAUCGGAACAUGCCCAGUCGUGGGGGAUAACACUUCGAAAGAAGUGCUAAUACCGCAUACGUCCUGAGGGGGAAAGCGGGGGAUCGCAAGACCUCGCGCGAUUGGAGUGGCCGAUCUCGGAUUAGCUAGUUGGUUGGGUAAAGGCCUACCAAGGCGACGAUCUGUAGCUGGUCUGAGAGGGUGGUCAGCCACACUAGAACUGAGACACGGCCCAGACUCCUACGGGAGGCAGCAGUGGGGAAUUUUGGACAAUGGGGGCAACCCUGAUCCAGCCAUUCCGCGUGAGUGAAGAAGGCCUUCGGGUUGUAAAGCUCUUUCGGCAGGAACGAAACGGUGGGCUCUAACAUAGUCCGCUAAUGACGGUACCUGAAGAAGAAGCACCGGCUAACUACGUG
RNAcentral lists this ribosomal RNA (484 nucleotides) under uncultured bacterium. Its description in RNAcentral is "partial 16S ribosomal RNA". It matches the Rfam family "Bacterial small subunit ribosomal RNA", at positions 30 to 507 of the family's 1533-position model. The record is from RNAcentral.